UGCAGAGGUCUCAAGCGUUGUUCGGAUUCAUUGGGCGUAAAGGGUGCGUAGGCGGCGCGGUAAGUCGGGUGUGAAAUCUCGGAGCUUAACUCCGAAACUGCAUUCGAUACUGCCGUGCUUGAGGACUGGAGAGGAGACUGGAAUUUACGGUGUAGCGGUGAAAUGCGUAGAGAUGUGGAGGAACACCAGUGGCGAAGGCGACUCUUUGGCCUGUAACUGACGCUGAGGCGCGAAAGCGUGGGGAGCAAACAGG
Molecule: ribosomal RNA, 253 nt
Filed under: uncultured bacterium
Lineage: Bacteria
Description: partial 16S ribosomal RNA
Rfam family: Bacterial small subunit ribosomal RNA
Source: RNAcentral